Vicugna pacos (alpaca) is the source of this 475-nucleotide non-coding RNA. The record is from RefSeq and is a predicted model, not a curated record. NCBI's taxonomy places the organism in Eukaryota, Metazoa, Chordata, Mammalia, Artiodactyla, Camelidae.
AAAGGGCUUGGAGAAAAACUGAAAAGAGCUAAGAUGAGCUUCCUGGCAGCCAAGAAGAAGAGGGAACCCUGUUCUCUUCCGAGAAACACAGCGUGUGGAUGGUGAAAACACAGUGCUUACGGGAACCCUCUGAUGCAGAUGCUCGAACAGACUCUUGGCUGCACUUGUGACCCAACAGCAGAAGCUCCAGCAAAUUCCAGCACCUCUCAGGUUUGGGGACAGCCUGAGGCCCAGGAAGGCCGCCGGAGGCCUCUCGCGGUUAGCAAGUCCCCACUGAUGCUGCUCUGACUGCCUCUCUGCCAAGCAGUUGCAGUGACCAAUCUGGAGUUAAAUGCCCAGCAUCCUUCUCCAGAUGGGUGGUGGCUGCCAAGAUGAGGAUUCCAUGGAACAAUUCUAACUGAGUUACUACCCUAUUUUAAAAUGUAUUUUUCAGCAAUCCCACUCCUGGGCAUAUAUCCAGCGCUAACUCUAGCUC